RNAcentral lists this long non-coding RNA (3026 nucleotides) under Mus musculus (house mouse). Its description in RNAcentral is "RIKEN cDNA C230013L11 gene". The record is from RNAcentral. Lineage: Eukaryota; Metazoa; Chordata; Mammalia; Rodentia; Muridae.
UGGGGGUGGGGCCAGGCCGCCGUCCAGGGAGGCCCAGCCGCCAGGCCAGGGACCGAGGAGGGUGGGCACGACGGGCUCCGGACCUUCCCGGGGCCCCGCGUUCGCCCAGCCUCCCGCCUCGGGGCACGGUGGACCCACUCUUCCCGCGGCCACCAACCUGACAGCCCCCGAGGGCGACUCCGCCGACAGACCACCAUGCACCGGGCCCUGCCACCAGCGCCGGCCCCGCAACCCGCCUGCGCCAUAGCCCGCCCGCGCGCGGCUUGCCUCGCGCGAUAUCCAGGUUCCAGGGCGGCCGCACUUCCCUCUCGCUCCCGGCGCGGCCUCCGCCGGGCCCCGGAACCCGGAUGACCAGCGCGGGGCCACGCUCCAGCCCGCCCCCCUCCGCCGCGGCGGCCGGCCUGCUUAUCCCGGUUCCCGGGCCCCGGAGCCCAGGCCGCCGAGUCUCCUCAGGCGAGCCUCGGAGCUCCGCCUCGCUCUUCUCUCCGCUGGCCGCCGGGUGACGCGGCCUCGCCAGCCCGGGCGCCCGGGGAGGGCGUGAUGACGUCACGACGCCGGGUGGAAGCCGCGGUCGCCAUAGCAACGGGGGAAAAAAUCGAGCGGCGGUGGGCUGCUCGGGAGGAAGCCAUUGCAGGUAUCUCUAGGUGGUUCCUGCAGAGGACGGUGACCAGACGCCUGGAGGGGAUGGGACUCCGAGGGACAGUCCUCCCAGCGCCCUGUGCAACGGCGCCCCAAGGGAUGGCGUCCCGACAGUCAUCUCUGCUGGAUGGUCCUCCCCCUGGGACUUCACCCUAAGGGACGCUUCUCUCCCGCUCUGUCAGAAGGUGAACUGGGGCUCAGCACCCUGAGGGACUUAGGGACGGUCCUCCCUGUGGACAGUCUCCGUGAGAGAUGGUCCUUCUGCAUGGACUGCACCCCGAGGGACAAUCCUUCCUGCACUUUGUGGGAAGAUGCCCGAGGGGUGGGGGUGGGGGGACAGCAUUAUGAAGGAUGGAGCCCUGACAGUCCUUCCUGCGGGACAAUUCUCCCUGCAGUACUGGCUUUUCCCAUAUGCCCUGGGGAACGUGAGUGUUUAUGAGGGAUGGUGCACCCAUCCUGUCCCCUGAGGAAGGGCCCUGACGUUCCCCUCUGCUCGACUCAUCUUCCUGAGGGAUGAUUCUCUCUGAAGGAAGGUUCCCUGACAACACUUGCUUCCUUCUACUGCCUUCCCUGAGAAAUGACACUCUGAUGGUCGACCCCUGAGGGACAACGCCCCGAGAGUCUUCUCAGGUUCUUGGGCGUUCAUUCAUUCCUCCAUCAGCUCCCCAAAACCAACAGGUCCCCUUGAUAGGGUAGCAGUGUGAGGAACAAAACCAAGUGCCCCCUUUCUUCUCUGUUUUUCCAUAGUUUUGUCCUUUUUUUGGACUCAAACUGUGGAUCCCAAGGUGGCCUUGAACUUGUGAUCCUCCUGCCUCAUCUUUACACCUGACACCUAACUUUAAAAGUUCUUUUUAUUAUCUCUCUUCCAAGCAGGGAGGAAUUGUGGUUCAGGAUAUUUUCAGAAAUUGAGAGAAAAUAAGCUUCCAAUUAAAAAUAAGAAGAUGAAGGGGGAGGAGCCUUGGCACGGGCAUGUUAACCCCGAGGUCCCAGUGUGGUACUGGAAUUUCCACCUGGUGCCCUAGUAUAUACCCAGUUAGAGCCAGCUCUGCCAUCCUAGCACGACACACAUGGGAUCUUUCCAGGGUUUUAUAGCACGGAUUAUUGGUUAGAAAUACAGCAAGAAAGCCAGACACGGUGGUGUACAACUGUAAUCCCCUGCACUGGGGAGGUGAAACCAGGAGGGUCAAGAGUUCACCAUCAGGGCUGGCAAGAGUUUGAUCCUUGGAACCCAUAUGGUGGGAAAAGAGAACCUGUUUCCCCCAGUUGUCCUCUGAACUCCAAAGACACAUGGUAGCAUGCUUACACACACACACACACAGACAGUGCUUGCUUAUAUACACUCACAAAUGCACACACAUACUCAAUGAAAAAGUUCAGGAUCACUUUUAGUUUUCUGGUGAGUUGAAAAUACUAGAAUUCCGAGUGACCUGGAUGUCUGCUCAGCGCCACCACCCUUUACCAUAUGGGCAGAUAGCUCUUCCUUGCAGAUGGUAUUCGGUUCGUUUCCUCUCCAUUACACAGAAACCAUUUGUCUGAAGGAAGAGAUAAAAGUUGUCAUCCCACCACGUGGCCUUGGCUGGCCUGCAUCUUAGUCUAGGUAGACCAGGCUGGCCUCAAACUCACACAUCUGCCUGCCUCUCCCUCCCCAAGUGCUAGGAUCAAAGGCGUGAGUCACUAUACCCAGCCAAAGCAACGGUUCUAAAACAUUCCAGGUCCGAAAGAUUGGUGAGGAAGCUGUUGUGGAGUAGAAUUUUAUUCUCUUGGUACCAGGAAUGAGAUGCAAGGGCCCGGGCAUGCUAGGCAUGGCGCUCUGCUGCUGAGCUACGAGUAAAGAUCAGAGGGGGGGAUGUCGGAUGACAGCUCUCCAUUGCUGGGGUGCGGUGACCUUGGUGCUGGUUCUGCCUCCCUCGCAGGUCUGGAAACUCCUGCUUCUGCUUCUUUAAUACUGGGAUUAAAGACCUAAGCUGUCAUGCUCAGCGAGGGGAAGUCUCCAACGUUGCUUUUAAACGUAGACAGAGACAUGAAUUUCCAGAUAUUAAAAUCAUUAGGAAUAAGCUGAGCUGUGGGAGGGGGGAGCCAGGCCUGUCCGGCAGUGAGAAGAAGAGACCUUUGAGUGUUUAAGAUCCCCCCCCCGGGCCCCCAGCUAUAGGACAAGCCUUUGAGGUAGAGGAAAGGAUGCUUGCUAGACCUCGGAGUUUCAUUUAGUAUUUUAAUAAUAUAAAAAAGACAAUACAAAAUCCAAACAUUCCUUUUUACAAGUUUUCAGAUACAUAUUUUUCCCCAAGUGCAAAAUACUCUGUGUACCACAUUGCUGCUGCCUAUUGUCAACUGAGAUGCUUGCUGUAUGAGAGGCAGUGGAAGGCAGAUAUAAAUAUAGUAUUUUAAGA